This 497-nucleotide ribosomal RNA is filed under the name uncultured bacterium. RNAcentral describes it as "partial 16S ribosomal RNA". It matches the Rfam family "Bacterial small subunit ribosomal RNA", at positions 28 to 507 of the family's 1533-position model. The record is from RNAcentral.
GAUGAACGCUGGCGGCGUGCCUAAUACAUGCAAGUCGAGCGAACAGACGAGGAGCUUGCUCCUCUGACGUUAGCGGCGGACGGGUGAGUAACACGUGGAUAACCUACCUAUAAGACUGGGAUAACUUCGGGAAACCGGAGCUAAUACCGGAUAAUAUAUUGAACCGCAAGGUUCAAUAGUGAAAGACGGUUUUGCUGUCACUUAUAGAUGGAUCCGCGCCGCAUUAGCUAGUUGGUAAGGUAACGGCUUACCAAGGCAACGAUGCGUAGCCGACCUGAGAGGGUGAUCGGCCACAUUGGAACUGAGACACGGUCCAGACUCCUACGGGAGGCAGCAGUAGGGAAUCUUCCGCAAUGGGCGAAAGCCUGACGGAGCAACGCCGCGUGAGUGAUGAAGGUCUUCGGAUCGUAAAACUCUGUUAUUAGGGAAGAACAAAUGUGUAAGUAACUAUGCACGUCUUGACGGUACCUAAUCAGAAAGCCACGGCUAACUACGUG